CAUCAACCUUCAAUUGUAGGGCAAUAACUGCUUGAUCCAAGGAAAAUCUGACUGCCAUUAUGUGGUCAAGAAGGAAUUUUUUUCCCAGCUUGUUGCAAAUUGGCAGCGCUUCAAACUGGGUUUUUUCGCCUUCUUUUGGAUCAACCGUUUAAACACAAAUGUUAACUUUGUAAUCUAGUUGUUGAGCCACUAUUUUUGCUUCCACAGUUUCUUGGGUCUCACAUACUUUCCCACAGCCACCACGUCCUUCUUGCAGCAUUAUCUUAGGAAGUCUCACCUAUUCAUGCAGCCUACUGAUUACCCUCUCUACCCCACAUUUAGUCUACCCUAGGGGGCCAACAUGUUUAAUAUACCUUACUUCCCCUUGCACAAUUAAGAGUGCCGGUUAAAGUGCUGG
This is a non-coding RNA of Pelobates cultripes (western spadefoot toad), 397 nucleotides long. NCBI's taxonomy places the organism in Eukaryota, Metazoa, Chordata, Amphibia, Anura, Pelobatidae. The record is from the annotation of a GenBank genome assembly.